This 253-nucleotide ribosomal RNA is filed under the name uncultured bacterium. RNAcentral describes it as "partial 16S ribosomal RNA". It matches the Rfam family "Bacterial small subunit ribosomal RNA", at positions 524 to 776 of the family's 1533-position model. The record is from RNAcentral.
UACGUAGGGUGCGAGCGUUAAUCGGAAUUACUGGGCGUAAAGCGUGCGCAGGCGGUUUUGUAAGACAGGCGUGAAAUCCCCGGGCUUAACCUGGGAACUGCGUUUGUGACUGCAAGACUAGAGUACGGCAGAGGGGGGUGGAAUUCCACGUGUAGCAGUGAAAUGCGUAGAGAUGUGGAGGAACACCAAUGGCGAAGGCAGCCCCCUGGGUCGAUACUGACGCUCAUGCACGAAAGCGUGGGUAGCAAACAGG